AGUGAACGCUGGCGGUAGGCCUAACACAUGCAAGUCGAACGGCAGCACAGUAAGAGCUUGCUCUUACGGGUGGCGAGUGGCGGACGGGUGAGGAAUACAUCGGGAUCUACUUUUUCGUGGGGGAUAACGUAGGGAAACUUACGCUAAUACCGCAUACGACCUACGGGUGAAAGCAGGGGAUCUUCGGACCUUGCGCGAUUGAAUGAGCCGAUGUCGGAUUAGCUAGUUGGCGGGGUAAAGGCCCACCAAGGCGACGAUCCGUAGCUGGUCUGAGAGGAUGAUCAGCCACCCUGGAACUGAGCCACGGUCCAUGCUCCUACGGGAGGCAGCAGUGGGGAAUAUUAGACAGUGGGCGCAAGCCUGAUCCAGCCAUACCGCGUGGGUGAAGAAGGCCUUCGGGUUGUAAAGCCCUUUUGUUGGGAAAGAAAAGCAGCAGGUUAAUACCCCGCUGUUCUGACGGUACCCAAAGAAUAAGCACCGGCUAACUUCGUG
This 492-nucleotide ribosomal RNA is filed under the name uncultured bacterium. Its description in RNAcentral is "partial 16S ribosomal RNA". It matches the Rfam family "Bacterial small subunit ribosomal RNA", at positions 29 to 507 of the family's 1533-position model. The record is from RNAcentral.